This 490-nucleotide ribosomal RNA is filed under the name uncultured bacterium. RNAcentral describes it as "partial 16S ribosomal RNA". It matches the Rfam family "Bacterial small subunit ribosomal RNA", at positions 30 to 507 of the family's 1533-position model. The record is from RNAcentral.
AUUGAACGCUGGCGGCAUGCUUUACACAUGCAAGUCGGACGGCAGCGGGGUAGUGCUUGCACUACUGCCGGCGAGUGGCGAACGGGUGAGUAAUAUAUCGGAACGUACCGAGUAAUGGGGGAUAACCAAUCGAAAGAUUGGCUAAUACCGCAUACGUCCUGAGGGAGAAAGCGGGGGAUCGCAAGACCUCGCGUUAUUCGAGCGGCCGAUAACUGAUUAGCUCGUUGGUGGGGUAAAGGCCUACCAAGGCGACGAUCAGUAGCGGGUCUGAGAGGACGAUCCGCCACACUGGGACUGAGACACGGCCCAGACUCCUACGGGAGGCAGCAGUGGGGAAUUUUGGACAAUGGGGGCAACCCUGAUCCAGCCAUGCCGCGUGUAUGAAGAAGGCCUUCGGGUUGUAAAGUACUUUUGUUAGGGAAGAAAAGGGAAGUGCUAAUACCACUUUUUGCUGACGGUACCUAAAGAAUAAGCACCGGCUAACUACGUG